AUUAACUCCGGGGACAUAGAGCACAGAAAAUAUGCAGGCUUACUCUCCUUCUUAUGCAACUUCUCUCCGUGUUUUCUCUCCCUGAAUUCAAGAGGUGGUUCACAGAGCUUGGAGAAGGCAUUUUGAAUACUAACUACUGUUAGUGUGGGCCUUUUAUUUGCCAUUCAGAUGUGUUCUAUCCUACUUGCAGGGCAUGGUCCUCAGUUUCCCAUCUCACCUAGUAGUCUGCUAAUCAGAGUUUUUUAGCCUCAAGUCAUGUCUAGACUUCACUGUGACUAGUAGUGUGGGAAUCAAAUGUUGUUUCUGCAUUAGAAUUGGAUAAUAUUUCUUUUGUUUCAUGAUCUCCGCUAUCAUAGUUCUUUUUGGGAGUCCUUCUACUUAACCCGGGGAAGCUCUCUGAUAGUCUACAUCACUGAUCCUCCAGACGAACCUUCCCAGGCACGCACACUCUGUAUAUAGGUGUAUAGAUGUAUAUAUUGUCGUACAUACUGCAAGAAUAUCCUGCACGAGAGCAAACCAGAGAGCAAAACGAGAGCCUGCCCGAGGAAGCGCCUGAAGAGACAUCAGAAGGCCUGGCAUCAUCCCCAGUGCUCUUUGUUUAACGAAGACUUUAAAGAAAAUCGCCAUAUCAAUACGGCAAGGAGAGCACCGAGACAGCUUGGAAACAACAGCACGGCUGCUGAGUGACACCAGGGCUUGCUGGCUAAGGACCAAGGAGCAUCAGAAAGCUUUCUUCUCUCUGUUUUCCACAGCAUUUGGAAUCAGAGCGAGAAGCUGAGACACAACCGAGCAUGGGAACGGUCAGACUUCAGUGCCUUCAAAGAAAAAGGGAGACGAGAGGAAGAGAAGUUCCAAAACCUCUUUUCAGUUGUGACAAUGAAGAUAAGCAUUUCUAGGUAUAUGUCUGCAAAAUGAAGCUGAAGUAUAGCUUCAAGACAACAGUGCUACAGUGACUGCCAAGUACUUGAGGCCACAUCUACAGCAUGGGAACAGAUGCAUCUUGAGCUGGCAGCGAUCAGCAUACUGCUUCAUAAACCUGCAAUGCUGGGGAGUUGAGUGCAGUAACAGAGACACUCUUGCUCUGUGCAUGGUCAUUAAAAAGCUGCAGAACUGUGCAAGAAGUUUCACUCUAUUGUGGGACUUUUCCAGAUCAUGGGUUCAUGAACACUAUCUUACUCCUGAGAGCUGGUAGGUCCUGCAUCUGAUCUCAGUCCCUGCAUGGAUCUUGCCUGAGUUCAGCCACGGAAAUGGUCAUCAUAGGGGUUAAAAUGAAUCUGAUUUCAUCCAGCUUAGAACACACAGGAUACACAUCAAAGGUGGAUUUCUGUCUGAGUUCCUCAUGGAUUUCAAUUUCAAUCAACAGCUGCAGGCCUAUUUUUUCCUUGUUUUAGAAGCAGAAAUCAUGGCCAAGGCUCUGGCAGCCAGGCCAGCAAAUAGUGACAAGUAGUGUAAACUGAUCUGGCAGGCUUCAUUAAGGGCAGAUUAAAAACCAGCAAUCCCCAAGGUUUUUGUGAUACGAGUGCAUGUGAAUUACUCACUCCCUAGGGUGAGAUGCAGAGAUAAUGUUCAACUGCCCGGAGAGUGGAACAAAGACUACUGUGUGAAAUUACAUGUUGUGACAGCAUAACAUGCAAAAUUCCAUCCCCCAACAAGGCACUUCCUCUCAAAAAAAACAAACCUUGAUUACCUAAAAACAAGUCAGCCUAUUCCCAAGGGAGCUGAAUGAGUAGAAAAUUCAAGACACCUGCAUAAGGUUUAAGUACGAACUCAACAUCUGAGCCCUGAACUCAGGAUGUUUUGCUAUUUUUCCAAUACAAAGUCCAUAAUUCUCCCAAUUUUUAGAUUUUACUUUUUUUUUUUUUCCAAGAAAUAUUUGACAAUGGACUUCCCUUACUGGAUCAAGUAGUAUUAUAUCAGAAUGCUGAUAAUUAGGGUUCUCUGAUUUUUUUGUUCUUGGUGCAAGGUUUUCUUGCCUUGUGCCUAAAACAGCCUUAUAGUUCUACUAUUUGCUUGCAACCUGAUGGUUUUCUUUGCUCCACAGGGUGAUGGAUCCGGAAUUUCUAACCAAAGACUGCAGGAUAAUAUUUCCCUUUUCAAUCCAAAAUGCUUAGAUCACUAGACCAGACAAAAGGUUCCAAUCCCAACUAUUGCCACUUCACACUCUGUUUUACUUGAUUCUUUCUGUACUCAUUUUUUGCAAAUUAAAUUUGCAAAUUAAAUAUGGAAUUGAAUGUUUUACACUGAUUUAUUUUUUUAAAGCCACACAACAUCAAGAGCAGUAUGUUAGCUAGUGAUCUUGAUCUGAUUUGUAGGCACAGAGUGGAUACAGUAGAAAGAAGCUGCACUGAGUUCAUACAGCUCAAGUAGAGGAAGCUACAUUAAGGUAACAACAAACAGAAGAGUAAGAUUUGCCAUUUACCACCUGAAAUUGUAGAGUUCUAGUGUCCAUCCAUGCUUCACUACUUUGUCUAGAGAGUCAGGAAAAGCAGAUACAUAACCAUUAACAUUAUAAUUGAAAAGUGGGAAACAAUUCUGCAAGAUUCCACAGGAGAGGAUUCCUAGUUCAGCCAGAAAACUGUCCAAGUUUCCUUCUUUCUCUGGAUUGUAUCUAUGAGCAGAAGUUCAGAAGACAAAAAAAAAAAACAACUGUUGAAGUUGUCUCAUACCCAGAGAUCACCACAUCUAAGAGGCAGAGCAGAGCUUCUUAGCUGUCUCACAAUUUUAGCCUCAUCUAAGACUCUUUCACUGUUGCAAGUUCUGCAUUUUACAUCCAUUCAUGAUUUCAAACACAUCUGGAAAUGCUUUAAUGAGAUUAUAUCUAGUGAGCACUGUACACUGUACACCAUGCCGUUUGCAAGGGUCUACCCAGCAUUUUCAGACUUUUCAGACCAGGAGCUAGAAGAAUAAGAGAUCAUUAAUUUAAGCUCUUUUGCUUAAUUGAGUCUGCAUGGGCAUCAUUUCUCUCCUUUAGACUUUACAGAAGCCAUCUUCCAUGCACAAAUUGUUCUUUGAUUUCUGAAAGUUAGAGCUUGGUGAGAAGGAAUCAAAGGUGUGAGCCUUUUCCUGCUAUCAUUUUCCCUACAUAACUUAGAGAUUGAUUUAGACAGAUCUCAGAUAAUCCCAGUGCCUGAAACUAAUCUUUUAACUCUAGGAGUUAUAAACUCUCUCCUGUUCUUAGGCUGACAUUGAAACCACAGAAUAGAAAACAACUCCUUGGUUUUGCAGCGUAAUGCUCUCACACCUGGAUGAGCAUUUCCAGCAAUAUAUCCUUCAUUAUGAAGCCUGAGAACUGAAAAAUAUCACUACUUGUUUUGGCCUCUGAAUAGUCCUGUCACAACAGAUGACAUUCAAAUGGGAAUCCUGAGUUGAAAAACAUCAAUAGGUGACUUUCAGCAAUGCUUUUGCUCUUAAAAGCAAGGAUGAAAUCCUGUGCUCACUGUUUUCUAUUGGCUAUUUCUAUGCUGAGCAUUAACGUUUCUCACCGACCCCCCAGGGUAGUUAAUUCUGAGCUUCAUGUGUUGGGACUGAAUGCAAUAUUCACAGUACUGUAGUGCAGAACUGGAAUUCUUCAAGUAAAUAUUCCAUACCUAAAAGCAUUACAUCUGUAUCACAACACUUCAAGUUGUUAGUCUUAUUUCUAAGCAAAUUCACAGUAGCAUCUCAGGGUGUACAGAGGAACCUCAUCUGAUUCAAAAAUUCUCCCCAGUUCCUGCAUUCACUGAGUACUGCCAAGUUCCAGCUUUCUCAGUUCAGAUGUAGUACCACGUGCAUCUAAGCAUUUCUUUUUUAGGGAUACAAUAUCAUAAGUGAUUCAAACAUUAUGUAUCUCUUGUGUCAAAUAAGCUUUCCAAGUACUGCUACAAUCAGCAGUAUAGCCAAGCAAGCAAUUAAUUUAACAUAACUUAUUACAGACAAAAUGGGAUUUAAAUUUCGUUGUUGACUUGCGAGUAAAGCAAGUAAAUAGUUUCUUUUCUUUAGUGUCAGCACCUUACUUGAUUUGUAUUUCCACAAAACAAAAUUAGUAGGGAAAAGCCCACAGUUCUCAGCUAACUGCCUGUCAUCAACGUCUGUUUGGGCACUUUAGUGCACAGCGUGUUUACUCCUUUUUAAUUAAGGGAACUCUAGUAUAGUUUUCCACAUAGGCAUUGUUUUCUUGCUAUGAACAACUUGCACCACACCAUAAAAUAAUUUCAAAUUAAUAUUAUCUAGUAAAUACUUAGACCUAAUUAAUCUUGUUGCUUUAAUUUUAUCAUUUGCUUCUUUUAGACCUCAUUGAAAGCAAGACGGAGGAUGAUGAGGACAUUUUCAGUUCAUGCUCUCCCGGAUCCUUAGACCUUAAUUAAAGCCUUCACUACACAUG
Molecule: long non-coding RNA, 4360 nt
Organism: Lagopus muta (rock ptarmigan)
Lineage: Eukaryota; Metazoa; Chordata; Aves; Galliformes; Phasianidae
Exons: 5
Source: RefSeq, a predicted model, not a curated record